This is a long non-coding RNA of Vicia villosa (hairy vetch), 974 nucleotides long. RefSeq lists it as uncharacterized. NCBI's taxonomy places the organism in Eukaryota, Viridiplantae, Streptophyta, Magnoliopsida, Fabales, Fabaceae. The transcript is spliced from 3 exons. The record is from RefSeq and is a predicted model, not a curated record.
CCGGUAGACAUUACGGUACACACUUUCAAUAUCAAACCCCAUUCUUAUUUCCCUCUCAUUCUCACUUUUACAUUCAUUCUGCUUCCUCCCUUCUCUCUCCACAAAAGCUUGCGACUGCUUCCUCCCUUCCACCGAUUUUUCAGCAACCAUGUCUAGAGCACCUAUCAUGAUUUCUGACUUGAAACUCGAACAAAACGUGUGGAAAAUAGCUAUUCGUGUUGUCGAUGUAUGGGACGUCAAGGAAUGCAAUGGCCAGCAACAUCUUGAAGCCAUUAAUCAAGAUGCAAAGGGUGAUCAAAUCCAUGUUGUAUCCCGCUCCCGUGGCUUUGAAAUAUGGAAGAAGACCUUGUAGGAAAUGAAAACCUUUGUCGUCUAUAAUGGUGAAACUAUGUUCAAUGACAUGCCUCUGAAAGUUUGUGAUACAAGGUGUUUUUUAAUUGUGCCACAACUAUCAUUGUCGUUGACGUACCAGACAUUCCACAACACAAGUUCAACUUCAAGUCCUUCACUGAUUUCAAAAGUGGAGAUUUCAUUGUUGAUCGCCUUUACGAUAUUCCUUGACAAACUUUGUUCUUAGUAGAUUCCAUAUUAGAAGCAUAUCCUUUACAGUAUUAAUGACACACUUUGUUUUCUAAAUUGUGCACAUUGUCUUUUUCAGAUGUAAUAGGUGUUGUCCAACAAGUUGUUAGGACUCAAGUAGCAGGUGCUGGCAAAUUUUUUCUACUGCAGGUGUGAGUUAAAUUUUUCUGCUGCAGGUGUUGUAUCAUGUCAAAAAUGAAUUUAAAAGAAUAGAAUGCAGGGCAGGUCUACUCUUUGGUUGCUCACUUCACUGUGUUUGUUGUUUUAAGUUGAAUGUGCAUAAUUUCAUUACACUAACUCGUGAUCAUGUUUAAUGUUACAUGGUCUUCGUGAAAUAACACGGCAGCAAGGAUCUUGAAGGUUUUGUGCUCCUUAAUUUUGACAAGCUAAGGACU